CUACACUCCUGCGGGAGGCAGCAGUGGGGAAUAUUGGACAAUGGGCGCAAGCCUGAUCCAGCCAUGCCGCGUGAGUGAUGAAGGCCCUAGGGUUGUAAAGCUCUUUCACCGGUGAAGAUAAUGACGGUAACCGGAGAAGAAGCCCCGGCUAACUUCGUGCCAGCAGCCGCGGUAAUACGAAGGGGGCUAGCGUUGUUCGGAUUUACUGGGCGUAAAGCGCACGUAGGCGGACUAUUAAGUCAGGGGUGAAAUCCCGGGGCUCAACCCCGGAACUGCCUUUGAUACUGGUAGUCUUGAGUUCGAGAGAGGUGAGUGGAAUUCCGAGUGUAGAGGUGAAAUUCGUAGAUAUUCGGAGGAACACCAGUGGCGAAGGCGGCUCACUGGCUCGAUACUGACGCUGAGGUGCGAAAGCGUGGGGAGCAAACAGGAUUAGAAACCCUGGUAGUCCC
Molecule: ribosomal RNA, 449 nt
Filed under: uncultured organism
Description: partial 16S ribosomal RNA
Rfam family: Bacterial small subunit ribosomal RNA
Source: RNAcentral